GAUGAACGCUAGCGGGAGGCCUAACACAUGCAAGCCGAGCGGUAGAGAUCUUUCGGGAUCUUGAGAGCGGCGUACGGGUGCGGAACACGUGUGCAACCUGCCUUUAUCAGGGGGAUAGCCUUUCGAAAGGAAGAUUAAUACCCCAUAAUAUAUUGAAUGGCAUCAUUUGAUAUUGAAAACUCCGGUGGAUAGAGAUGGGCACGCGCAAGAUUAGAUAGUUGGUAGGGUAACGGCCUACCAAGUCAGUGAUCUUUAGGGGGCCUGAGAGGGUGAUCCCCCACACUGGUACUGAGACACGGACCAGACUCCUACGGGAGGCAGCAGUGAGGAAUAUUGGACAAUGGGUGAGAGCCUGAUCCAGCCAUCCCGCGUGAAGGACGACGGCCCUAUGGGUUGUAAACUUCUUUUGUAUAGGGAUAAACCUUUCCACGUGUGGAAAGCUGAAGGUACUAUACGAAUAAGCACCGGCUAACUCCGUGCCAGCAGCCGCGGUAAUACGGAGGGUGCAAGCGUUAUCCGGAUUUAUUGGGUUUAAAGGGUCCGUAGGCGGAUCUGUAAGUCAGUGGUGAAAUCUCAUAGCUUAACUAUGAAACUGCCAUUGAUACUGCAGGUCUUGAGUAAAGUAGAAGUGGCUGGAAUAAGUAGUGUAGCGGUGAAAUGCAUAGAUAUUACUUAGAACACCAAUUGCGAAGGCAGGUCACUAUGUUUUAACUGACGCUGAUGGACGAAAGCGUGGGGAGCGAACAGGAUUAGAUACCCUGGUAGUCCACGCCGUAAACGAUGCUAACUCGUUUUUGGGUUUUCGGAUUCAGAGACUAAGCGAAAGUGAUAAGUUAGCCACCUGGGGAGUACGUUCGCAAGAAUGAAACUCAAAGGAGUUGACGGGGGCCCGCACAAGCGGUGGAUUAUGUGGUUUAAUUCGAUGAUACGCGAGGAACCUUACCAAGGCUUAAAUGGGAAUUGACAGGUUUAGAAAUAGACUUUUCUUCGGACAAUUUUCAAGGUGCUGCAUGGUUGUCGUCAGCUCGUGCCGUGAGGUGUUAGGUUAAGUCCUGCAACGAGCGCAACCCCUGUCACUAGUUGCCAUCAUUCAGUUGGGGACUCUAGUGAGACUGCCUACGCAAGUAGAGAGGAAGGUGGGGAUGACGUCAAAUCAUCACGGCCCUUACGCCUUGGGCCACACACGUAAUACAAUGGCCGGUACAGAGGGCAGCUACCUAGCGAUAGGAUGCGAAUCUCGAAAGCCGGUCUCAGUUCGGAUUGGAGUCUGCAACUCGACUCUAUGAAGCUGGAAUCGCUAGUAAUCGCAUAUCAGCCAUGAUGCGGUGAAUACGUUCCCGGGCCU
Molecule: ribosomal RNA, 1345 nt
Filed under: uncultured bacterium
Lineage: Bacteria
Description: bacterial SSU rRNA
Rfam family: Bacterial small subunit ribosomal RNA
Source: RNAcentral